This is a long non-coding RNA of Malurus melanocephalus (red-backed fairy wren), 2909 nucleotides long. RefSeq lists it as uncharacterized. NCBI's taxonomy places the organism in Eukaryota, Metazoa, Chordata, Aves, Passeriformes, Maluridae. The transcript is spliced from 2 exons. The record is from RefSeq and is a predicted model, not a curated record.
AGCAUGGCUCAGCCCUGCCCUGGAGCCCAACUGGGGCUUUCCUGAGGGGUGUUCAGGUGUGUAGUGGUGGCAUUAAUWACCUUCAGCUGUUACCAGUUAGUGUUCAGUAUGCAAGCUGUGCCAUUUGAAGUUAUUCUUGGGCUGUUAAAARGUAAGCUUGCUUUCUAAGAGUAAAUUUUUCUUCCAGAAUAGACUUGGAAGUGCAGCAAGAACACCUUACUGCUGUGCAAACUCUUCCUUACCUCUGUGUAUGUGGUGUCUUCAGUGCUUGAAGGAGUGUAGGGACUGGAGGUUAGAAAAAGUCUUUGGAAACAGAGUCUGCCUACUCAACACAUGACUGCUGCUGAAUCCCAGCUCCAGGCAGUAAGGCUGAGUACGACAGUAUUCCAGUCCCCUGAGUGAUGCUGAAUUUUUUUAAGGAAUCCUUCAGUUUGAAUCCAGAGCUAAGCAAUUACUCAGUGCAUUAAAAGAAAGGUAGGUUGUACAGAGAAUACUCACCACUAGAGGACAGGUUUUACAGAUACAUAGCGAUAAAACUAAGGAAAUCCCUCUCCCAUGGCUGAUAGCAAUUAAUUGAUGCCCUAACAAUUAAGAACUGGUUUAAGUUAUGAUUUCCGUCCCUGCUGACGGGGUGUGGCCGGCGCGGCACCGCGGGGCUCCAGCCGGUGUCCGGUGUCCGGCCGGAUCCCGCUCCGCUCGCCGCAGCCUUUGGCCGCCACCUGCUGGGAGCCGCGCCCCGCUCAGGCCCUGCCGAGCUCYGGGACCUCCUUCCCUCUGCCUGUGCCUUGGUCUCGCCACCCCCGAACCGGUGGGGUCAAUCCCCGGGCCUGCGGAGACUGAAGGAGAGGUGCGGUGUGGGAAUGCAGAAGGUGACCCAAGUUCAGAGAGCUGCAGCAGCAACAAGGAAGYGGUAAGUCACCAGUGGUCACACAGCACGUCACCAAAGCCUGGCACAGGACAUGGAAACAUUCCCAUGGGUGGUGAGUCUGGGCUGCAUUGUUUUAUAAUGGACGGAAUUAAAGAAUUCUGUGGUCUGUAAUUUCAAAGUGUCUCACCAAGAACCAAUUUUAAAUACGCAUCCAGACAUUGACUUCUAUUCAUAGACUUUGCUUUAACCACAGAAACCACCCUUGUCUUGGCACACAUACAUACUGGCCCUGUCGAAUAUUGCCAGCAUAUGCUGUGCCGAAAGAAACUGUAAUUAUCUGAUCUCUGGCUGUAUCACCACAGAAAGAGAAACCAAAGAAAGGCAACUGGGAAGCAAUGUGGAGUCUUUUGAGAAUAAAAUCUGCAGACUUCACCWCCACUAGCUGCUACUUAAAGUGAUGGCUAAACCCAAAAUACAGAAUUGUUGGGUUUUACAUUUUGCCUUUAUAUAAAGGGAAAAAAUGAUCUUGUGACUGCUUUCUUUGAGAGCAUUUCUGUGUUCAGGAACUCCAGUCAUGAACUCGUACUCUCCUCUUAGAAGCAGCUCUUCAGCCAUCUGCAAUUCCUGUUGACCUGCUUUCAGUGGCAGGAGCUACACCUCAUCUAGACCCCCUUUCCCACAAAAGUUUGGGCCAGAUGAUCUUCUGAGACCCCUUCCAACCCAGCUCCAUACAGCCACAACAGCUAAUAACAUCCUGUACUGAGCUGGACUAAAAGGACAGUAGAAAACAAACUUUCAAAGCAAUCAGAGCCACGUGGGGUGGCUGCCACAAGCUAGGUAUAGGCUGAACAUUAUUUGCCAGACCCUCCUGCCUAUGAGAACUGUGGAGUUCAGUUGUGUAAAAUGUUCAUUGUUCCCCAAAGAAUCAGGAGUUAUGGCCAUCUUUUCCUCCAUCUCCUUUCUGUCCCAUGUUUGUUUUACCAAAAGUAAUCUCAACUUACUCAGGGCUUUGUCUUGUAAUCAGUCAUUCGAAGUGUUCCCUCAGGCCCAUUUGUUGCAGGACUUAAGGUAUUGCUGAGAUCAAACAAUAUGAAAUCCUCAGAGCUGUGAAAAUACAGGAUUUCCUGGCUCAGAGCUACUAACCCUACUCUCUAUUUUCACUAAGGUAGCACAGAGCUACAAUAAAACCACAUGCCAAGGGACUGCAAAAAGAAACAGGCACCUGGGACAAGAAUAUAUAGUCUUGGUAUGGUUGGAAGGUACCAGAAAUACUCACAUUGAAACAUAACAGCAAAAAUCCUUCAGUCUACUACUUACCUUUAGAAAGGCCCAUGUUUAAAACACAACUAUUUGCACACAACACAUCAGRUAAAUCACGUCUUCAAUUUGCUGUGAGGCAAGAUUUUCCUACCAGCUAUUAAUAGAUGCUGACUUCCUUUUCAAAACCAACGAGAGCUAAUGAAAAAAGUACAGAGGUUUGUUUGUGUGUGCUGCUGAUGCCACAGGGCAUUUGCUCCUUGGGCAGUUUCCUGCUGAGAUGGGAAGAAAGGAAAAUGGUGUUGGCCUCUGUAUCCGAGGAGGCCCCGCAGCACCGCGUGCUCUGCUGGCUGCCAGGGCACACGGACCAUGGGAACACCACAGCACUCAGCCAACAAUGCACAGGUCAGUGUGGAAAGAGGAGCACAGAGCUGACAUUGAGGCAGAGCUCGGGGUUUGGAGGGGAAAGCGCAGCAAAGCCCCAGUCCUGGAAUCUCAACAGGGAGAGGCAACUCAUCCAGCACGGAUGUGGGGGAGAGCGCAAACAUCCUGCUCUGGAAGGCAGCACAACAGGCAAUGUGGCUGUGGAAGGAGGAAGGAAGGGAAAUUCCCAGUUASAGGCACAGGGCAGGGAAGGCUGUCAGCUGUGACAGCAGGAGAGGGCAACAGGAUGUCACGGGAGAGGGUACAAACAAAAUUACCACCUACCAGAAAGGUCAGAGAGCAUGAGAAUGUAGUGCUGAUCAGAAGGGGGCUGACCUACACACACACAGAUCUGAGCAAC